CAAGAUAGAGCUUGAAAUAAGCAGCUCGUUUACACCGAGAAGACUACCUGUUAGAUAGGUUAUCUUGA
Molecule: transfer RNA, 68 nt
Filed under: Coenobita clypeatus
Lineage: Eukaryota; Metazoa; Arthropoda; Malacostraca; Decapoda; Coenobitidae
Description: tRNA-Val
Source: RNAcentral